This 250-nucleotide ribosomal RNA is filed under the name uncultured bacterium. RNAcentral's name for it is "partial 16S ribosomal RNA". It matches the Rfam family "Bacterial small subunit ribosomal RNA", at positions 779 to 1028 of the family's 1533-position model. The record is from RNAcentral.
UAGAUACCCUGGUAGUCCAUGCCGUAAACGAUGUCUACUAGCCGUUGGGGCCUUUGAGGCUUUAGUGGCGCAGCUAACGCGAUAAGUAGACCGCCUGGGGAGUACGGUCGCAAGACUAAAACUCAAAUGAAUUGACGGGGGCCCGCACAAGCGGUGGAGCAUGUGGUUUAAUUCGAUGCAACGCGAAGAACCUUACCUGGUCUUGACAUAGUAAGAACUUUCCAGAGAUGGAUUGGUGCCUUCGGGAACU